GGGGGUGUUCUGGCAUCGACGGGGUCGGGAAUGGAUGGAUCAGCAUACCGUGCACGCCUUUACGCACGUAAAUCUCAGGGCAAAACAAUAAAUGCAGAUAACUACGGUUACGCACUCGCCGCUUAAUUAGCCACGAGCGCCAAUACAGGGUUCUCCUGACGGUCCUGUAACGGCGUCGACACAGUCAGGAUAGUUGAUGCGCUGAUGGGGCAGCAUCGAUGAGCGUUCAAGUCCUCAUCUGCGGUCAGGGUGUUUUGAGUCCGGUCAAGAGCUCUGGCGUAAGGUAGAACACCGGACUAUGUAUGUAGAAGGUCUAUUGGUUUCCACUUCGGACCGGGGUUCGAAUCCCCGCACCUCCACAG
Molecule: transfer-messenger RNA, 362 nt
Filed under: Bacteroidota (CFB group bacteria)
Lineage: Bacteria; Pseudomonadati
Also listed under: 1 other name
Description: UBA8401 sp013361065 Standard tmRNA
Rfam family: transfer-messenger RNA
About the family: Bacterial tmRNA, also known as 10Sa RNA or SsrA, is named for its dual tRNA and mRNA-like properties. Its role is to liberate the mRNA from a stalled ribosome.
Source: RNAcentral